CUGGCUCAGGAUGAACGCUGGCGGCGUGCUUAAUACAUGCAAGUCGAACGAAGCACUUUUGACAGAUCCCCUCGGGGUGAAGAUGAUUGUGACUUAGUGGCGGACGGGUGAGUAACGCGUGGGGAACCUGCCUCGUGCUGGGGGAUAACAGUUAGAAAUGACUGCUAAUACCGCAUAAGCGCACAGUAAGGCAUCUUACAGUGUGAAAAGAUUUAUCGGCAUGAGAUGGACCCGCGUCUGAUUAGGUAGUUGGCGGGGUAACGGCCCACCAAGCCCGCGAUCAGUAGCCGACUUGAGAGAGUGAUCGGCCACAUUGGGACUGAGACACGGCCCAGACUCCUACGGGAGGCAGCAGUAGGGAAUAUUGCACAAUGGGGGAAACCCUGAUGCAAGCGACGCCGCGUGAGUGAUGAAGUAUUUCGGUACGUAAAACUCUAUCAGCAGGGAAGAUAAUGACGGUACCUGACUAAGAAGCCCCGGCUAACUACGUGCCAGCAGCCGC
This 502-nucleotide ribosomal RNA is filed under the name uncultured bacterium. Its description in RNAcentral is "bacterial SSU rRNA". It matches the Rfam family "Bacterial small subunit ribosomal RNA", at positions 19 to 518 of the family's 1533-position model. The record is from RNAcentral.